This 460-nucleotide ribosomal RNA is filed under the name uncultured bacterium. RNAcentral describes it as "partial 16S ribosomal RNA". It matches the Rfam family "Bacterial small subunit ribosomal RNA", at positions 338 to 795 of the family's 1533-position model. The record is from RNAcentral.
CCUACGGGAGGCAGCAGUGAGGAAUAUUGGUCAAUGGACGAGAGUCUGAACCAGCCAAGUAGCGUGAAGGAUGACUGCACUAUGGGUUGUAAACUUCUUUUAUAAAGGAAUAAAACGAGGCACGUGUGCCUUUUUGCAUGUACUUUAUGAAUAAGGAUCGGCUAACUCCGUGCCAGCAGCCGCGGUAAUACGGAGGAUCCGAGCGUUAUCCGGAUUUAUUGGGUUUAAAGGGAGCGUAGAUGGGUUGUUAAGUCAGUUGUGAAAGUUUGCGGCUCAACCGUAAAAUUGCAAUUGAUACUGGCAGUCUUGAGUACAGUUGAGGUAGGCGGAAUUCGUGAUGUAGCGGUGAAAUGCUUAGAUAUCGCGAAGAACCCCGAUUGCGAAGGCAGCUUACUAAACUGUGACUGACAUUGAUGCUCGAAAGUGUGGGUAUCGAACAGGAUUAGAUACCCGAGUAGUC